GACGAAGGGGGCUAGCGUUGUUCGGAAUUACUGGGCGUAAAGCGAGUGUAGGUGGUUGUCCAAGUUGGAUGUGAAAGCCUUGAGCUCAACUCAAGAAAUGCAUUCAGGACUGGGCGGCUAGAGGACCGGAGAGGAUAGGGGAAUUCCUGGUGUAGCGGUGAAAUGCGUAGAUAUCAGGAGGAACACCGGUGGCGAAGGCGCCUAUCUGGCCCGAUACUGACGCUGAGGCGCGAAAGCUAGGGGAGCAAACGGG
This 253-nucleotide ribosomal RNA is filed under the name uncultured bacterium. RNAcentral's name for it is "partial 16S ribosomal RNA". It matches the Rfam family "Bacterial small subunit ribosomal RNA", at positions 524 to 776 of the family's 1533-position model. The record is from RNAcentral.